GACGUAGGAUGCAAGCGUUGUCCGGAUUUAUUGGGCGUAAAGAGUUCGUAGGCGGUCCGUUAAGUCUGAUGUUAAAGAUCGGGGCUCAACCCUGGGAGUGCAUUGGAUACUGAGUGGCUGGAGUACCGGAGAGGAGGGUGGAAUUCCUGGUGUAGCGGUGAAAUGCGUAGAUAUCAGGAGGAACACCGGUGGCGAAGGCGGCCCCCUGGUUGGAUACUGACGCUGAG
This 227-nucleotide ribosomal RNA is filed under the name uncultured prokaryote. Its description in RNAcentral is "partial 16S ribosomal RNA". It matches the Rfam family "Bacterial small subunit ribosomal RNA", at positions 524 to 750 of the family's 1533-position model. The record is from RNAcentral.